Molecule: ribosomal RNA, 675 nt
Filed under: uncultured metazoan
Lineage: Eukaryota; Metazoa
Description: SSU rRNA
Rfam family: Eukaryotic small subunit ribosomal RNA
Source: RNAcentral
AUUCCAGCUCCAAUAGCGUAUAUUAAAGUUGUUGCGGUUAAAAAGCUCGUAGUUGGAUCUCGGCAGCCAGGGGGCGGUUCGCUCCAAAGCGUGACUGCCCCAUUUGGCUGUGUGAUUGGCGGAGGUUCCGGGGUGCUCUUCGUUGAGUGUCCCGGUGCGCCGUCAGGUUUACUUUGAAAAAAUUAGAGUGCUCAAAGCAGGCUUUUCAGGCUUGAAUAUUCGUGCAUGGAAUAGUAGAAUAGGAAGUCGUUUCUAUUUUGUUGGGUUUCGGAAAUCGACUUAAUGAUUAAUAGGGACAGUCGGGGGCAUUUGUAUUCAAACGACAGAGGUGAAAUUCUUGGACCGUUUGAAGACAAACUACUGCGAAAGCAUUUGCCAAGAAUGUUUUCAUUAAUCAAGAACGAAAGUUAGAGGUUCGAAGGCGAUCAGAUACCGCCCUAGUUCUAACCAUAAACGAUGCCAGCUAGCGAUCCGCUGAGUUGCAUUUGUAGGCUCUGCGGGAAGCUUUCGGGAAACCAAAGCGUUUGGGUUCCGGGGGAAGUAUGGUUGCAAAGCUGAAACUUAAAGGGAUUGACGGAAGGGCACCACCAGGAGUGGAGCCUGCGGCUUAAUUUGACUCAACACGGGAAAUCUCACCAGGCCCGGACACUGGAAGGAUUGACAGAUUGAGAGCUC